Molecule: ribosomal RNA, 844 nt
Filed under: Zarateana arganica
Lineage: Eukaryota; Metazoa; Mollusca; Gastropoda; Stylommatophora; Geomitridae
Description: partial 16S ribosomal RNA
Source: RNAcentral
GCUGUUAAAUAGUACACCACGAAGGGAAUUGAGCUAACUAGUAAAGCAUCCUAGUGCGUAGUUUAUGUGUUGCAACACAUUUUAUAUAUUGCUAGUUAGGGGUGAGAGGCUUCUCAAGACUUCCGAUAUCUUGAUUUCUAGGAAAAAUAUUAAGUAUAGGUACAGUCUGGAAAUACUAAGGUUUUCAGGACUCACUUAAGAAAUUUUAUUAAUUACAUAAAUUAUUUAAUAAUAAUUAGAUAUUGUAUUUUAGCAUAACGUAUUUGUUGAUUGUGGACUAUACUAGAAUUUACCUGCAAUUAGUUAGAGUAAUAUUACUGUUAAUAUAAGUAUUGUAAUAUGACUAUAUUAGGAACUCGGCAACCGUUUCCUCAACUGUUUAUCAAAAACAUAGCUGGAUGAAACUCAUAUUUGGUAAAUUCUGCUCAAUGACUAAUUAAAUAGCCGCAGUACCCUGACUGUGCAAAGGUAGCAUAAUCAUUUGGCUUAUAAUUGAAGUCUGGCAUGAAAGAAGAAAUGGGGAGAAGCUGUCUUUUAGAGUUUGCCAGAAAUUACUUAAUAAGUGAAAAUACUUAUAGUAAAACAAUAGACGAGAAGACCCUAGAAAUUUUAUAUAGCAGUAUUAAUACUACUACGUUAUUUUGUUGGGGCGACAGAAUAACAGUAAACUUAUUUUACACAAUUGGAACUUAUUUUUGAGUAAAUAUAAAUUACUCUAGGGAUAACAGCAUAAUGUAUAAAAGUUUGUGACCUCGAUGUUGGACUAGGGAUCUUAGCGUCUAGAAGGUACUAAGACAGGCUCUGUUCGAGCUUUUACCCCUACAUGAUCUGAGUUCAGACCGGC